UGCAAAGCAGAAUUGCUCAGAUGUUAUAGAGAGAUUGAACAAAGCAAGCUGCCUUAUAGUCAGGGUUGUGGUAGAACAUCUGCGUUGCAUGCAGAAGGACCCAGGUUCAAUCCCCAGCAUCUCCAGGUAGGGCUGGCUCCUGUGAAGCCCUGGAGAGCCACUGCCAGUCAGUGUUGACCAUACUGAGCCACAUAGACCAAUAGUCUGACUCAGUUGUCAGUAGCUAGUUCUUAGGGAAGCACAAAUUUCUGCAGAAACGUGAGCAUCAUACUUCUCUGAAAUUUAUGGAACACAGGCAGAACAGGAACUUUCAGAAACAGUCGCUAGUAUUUAUUGAUAGCUACAAUAUAUUCUCCACGAGUUUCUGUAAUCCUCUAAGUGUUGCUUUGCCAGUGCAUUCCUAGUGCGGAACAGGCUUGUGAGGCAGCCACUCCCCUUACCCCACAGGUCAACUUUUACAGGUGGGCCAGACCACCCACCUGUCACCUGACAUCAUCAUGACAUCAGACGAUUGGCAGGAGCUGAUGAAGUUGGAGUCCAACAGCAUCUGGUGUGUGUGAUGACAAUAAAGAUAACUCGAUCUACGGGAUUAACAAGGUGUACAAUGGGGAUGUGAAACCUUUGGCCUUCCAGAUAUUGCUGGCGUCGGUAAACAGGAAGAGACAUGCCGCAGGCCACCUGAAUGAAGCUCACAGACCACUGUGGACCCAUGGACCAUCGUUCAGGAACUCUGACCCUAAUAUAUGCUUUUUUGCACACAUUACUUGGCUGGAGACCUGCACUGAAGAAGUGAAAACUUCAGAAGAUGGUUGGGUUUCAGUUCGCAAACAGUUUCGGAAAGUGCAAAGUUUGCCUUUAAAUGCAAAUCGAAUGUAAUUUCUCCCCCAUCUCUCGCAGGCAGUACAGAGCCAAGUGGACCAGGGUCUGACCUGGUAUAAGGCAACCUCCCGUGUUCCCAACAAUCCAAGUUCAAAACAUGCUGAAUCUUUUACAGCACCAUUUUAGAUUUCUUGUCCUUCUCCUUGUGCAAAACACAGCACCGCCAUCGUAUGGAGCAAAAGCCAAGGAAUGGUGCCCAGAUUGCUAGGACAGACCAGUUCGAGAUCUCUUUAGGUGGCGUUCACUAGAAACAUGGAGGCAGCCUAGCACUGAGGCCAGAGACACAGUGUUUGUGCUUCAGUGCAUCUCCAGCUCUGUUUUCUGAAGUUGCAGACACACGACACUGGUCAAACUCUGCCCCUUUUUACUCCAAAACCGGGGGAAAUGCAGCACCAGUGCGUUUCUCCAUGAAAUCAGUUUCGCGCCAAAAUAAAAACUGUUUGUUGGAUCAACUCAUUACCACUCCGUGGUGUGUCCAAUGAAAACGCUUUGCUGUUGGUUAGGCAGAGACAGUGAUUGGCUCAAAGAUUGCUGUGGGCAGUCCUAAAAGUUUUGAGCUCAGCUGCGGGGAAGGGAGAACCUAGGCUAAGAUGAAAUGCUGCAAACCUCUUAAAGGCAGAGUUCCAGCCCCAACAUGGAAUGCUAUUUCAAGAAGAAACAUAUUAUCUGGAGGCAAGAGAACAGGCCAUGCCGCUAAAUUUCUUUGUCAACUCCAGUUACCAAACUCGACAGUCUUUUCAAUGUUACCGUUUCGGUGUAGGUGUCCCGGCAAACAGUCUUGCACCCAAACGCAGCAGUGGAAAUAGUGAUGCAGAACUCCAGGAUGUUGAAAACCAGGAAAAUAGCCAAGGUUCCAAGUGUUAUAUCCUGCCAAUGAAGCAGACAACCCAGCAAAUGAAAUCACUCUCCAGUACCAGGGAUCGAAUCCCUACUCUUCCAUGAAAUGGUCUGGGUGACCUUGCACCAGUCACUGCCUCUCAGCCUAACCUACCUCACAGGGUUGUUGUGAGGAUAAAAUCGGGAAGGGGAGAACCAUGUAUACCUCCUUGAGCUCCUUCAAGGAAAGGUGGGAUAUAAUACUUCUAACGGGUGGUAUUCGCUAGUCGUACUCAAAGCAGACCCACUGACGUUAAUGGGCAUGACUAACUUAGGUUGAUUAUUUCACUGGGUCUACUCUGAGUAGGGCUGAGUUGAAUACCACCCAAUAACAAUACACACAGACACGCAAUGUCCCCUGGGCACUGUUAGAGACCAGGCAGAGCUGCCUAACUUGGCUGCCACCCUCAUGGACCAUAUGGGGGUUGUGGUUGUCUUAAGGACCCUUUCAGGACAAUGAGGAAUGCAGCAGUCUUAACCGGCUGCAGCAAUCCCAAAGCAAAGUCAUCGCCCCUCCUAAUGCCCACACAGUUCUGAGCUCUCAUCACGUCACAGCCUCAUCAUAAGGAAUUAUAUCGAUGAUGCAAUAAAGAAGGUUCUCUCCUCAGGGACAGGCCCUCCAGGAGCUGGGACACGUCCUUUCAUCCAGAAUGCUUUUGAACUGGCACAAGCCAACGGAUCCCAUCCCUAGCAAACGGCAUUGCAAAACUGUGAAUUUCAAAGAAUUGCUGUCUCAGAUCUCAUAUUGUUUCAGAAAGUGCAAAGUUGACCGAUUUGGCUUCAAAUGUGAACUGAAUCAAAUUUCUUGCCUGUCCCUAUCAGGAACUGAACCUUGACUCUUCUGCAUGCAAAGCAGAUGAUCUACUAACCUCCUAUGGCCCUUCCCUUAUCCCACAUUUUACAGAGCAUUUUCCCAUUAUUUGCCAUAUCACAAAAA
Molecule: long non-coding RNA, 2692 nt
Organism: Rhineura floridana
Lineage: Eukaryota; Metazoa; Chordata; Lepidosauria; Squamata; Rhineuridae
Exons: 3
Source: RefSeq, a predicted model, not a curated record